Choloepus didactylus (southern two-toed sloth) is the source of this 410-nucleotide long non-coding RNA. RefSeq lists it as uncharacterized. The record is from RefSeq and is a predicted model, not a curated record. The transcript has 3 exons. NCBI's taxonomy places the organism in Eukaryota, Metazoa, Chordata, Mammalia, Pilosa, Megalonychidae.
GUACAAGGAACUGGAAGGAGACCCUGAUAGCUGGAGCACAAGAACUGGGGAAGCAUGGGGCGAGACUGCACAGAGCCUUGGAGGCCAUGGAGCCCCAGAGUAAUGUAGCCUGGUCCUGCCUCCAACAGUGGUCGGAGCUAUUGGUUUCCCCCAGACUUCACCAGAAUUGGAUAUAAUCAUCUAACCCUUUUUGUUGUGGCCAUCAAUUUGAAUAUGAUCCUGAUGGGUGGAGCUCCAGCAGCUAUCUUGCGUUCAUGAAGUGACUUUGACAAUGGAAACCGCUUGCCGAGAAUGGCAGAACAGAAAGAUAGAAGAUGCCAGAAUCUUUGAUGACAUCUUGACAUUUUUCUACAGCCCUGGCCACCCCUUGAUUUCACAGUACAUGAAAGAAAAAUAGGCCUUAUCUUUCA